UGCAAAGGUAGCAUAAUAAUUUGGCUUAUAAUUGAAGUCUUGUAUGAACGAAUACAUGGGGAAUAACUAUAUCAACAAUGUAAAAUGAAAUUACUAAAUACGUGCAAAUACGUAUAUUUACAUAAAAGACGAGAAGACCCUAGAAAUUUUUACUAUUUACGUUAACUGUUUUUGCUGGGGCGGCAUAGUAACAUGAAACUUACAUCAUUAUACAAGAAGUGAUAAUUUGCAGAAUGAUUAAAUUACUCUAGGGAUAACAGCAUAAUUUACUAUAGUUUGUGACCUCGAUGUUGGAUUAGGAAGU
RNAcentral lists this ribosomal RNA (304 nucleotides) under Camaena cicatricosa. Its description in RNAcentral is "partial 16S ribosomal RNA". Lineage: Eukaryota; Metazoa; Mollusca; Gastropoda; Stylommatophora; Camaenidae. The record is from RNAcentral.